Musa acuminata AAA Group (dessert banana) is the source of this 822-nucleotide long non-coding RNA. RefSeq lists it as uncharacterized. The transcript is spliced from 3 exons. The record is from RefSeq and is a predicted model, not a curated record. NCBI's taxonomy places the organism in Eukaryota, Viridiplantae, Streptophyta, Magnoliopsida, Zingiberales, Musaceae.
UUUGUUGAGGGCACAACUCGUUUCAUAUCCCUCCCUCGUCCCUAUGAGAGAGAGAGAGAGAGAGAUGAUGAUGGGAGAGCGGCGCUCUGCUUCCCUCCGCUGCCGCUGCCCCUUAUACUCGUCUCCUCCGUCAUCCUCUUCCAGAAUCCAGCGAUCGGCACAAGGAGGGUGACGCGCCGCUCCCAAUCCGGCGCAUCGCCAGGGAGGGCAUCGGGGGCGGGCGGCUCAAAGGAUCGGAGUGUCGGCUGAUACUAUUCUUAUAGAAAGAUCAAAAGAUAACGUGUCCUUCUUCCUGAAGCAAACAGGGAGAAAGAAAUGUGGGGCGGCAGCCAUGGGAGACACGAGGGGAGGUAAGAACGAUUCUUUCAUCUCUUUUCUUCCCUCUCUGUGUCAGGCCAAAAAGACCGGUGGGGGCGGCGAGGUGGAGCCCCGCAGGUCACCCUCUUUUCGCCGACCAGACCUAACCGGGCCCCAAUACCCACGCAUUAUAUCUCAUCCUUUGUCAUUUGUCCGGUGGAGACCCGCGUGUCUCGAUGGAGCCAGGAAACAGCAGUUUCUUUGCCGACACGGCACCGUGACUCGGGGCUCUUGAGGACCAUCUCCUUUAUGUGGUGGGGAGACAUGUUCCCUGUCUCGGCCCAGAAAGAGGAGCGGCAGCCUCCACUAUCUCUUGUUGCGUUGGAUGGCGAGGACGGGUCUUUUCAUUUGCAGUAGCUCGCCUUCAUCACGACCGUUCGUUCCUCUUGCGACCGGAUCCCAUGAUAUAUUUAUUAUAUAUUUAAAAUCGCAAGACGCAGUCGUCCAUCCAUCGCUUAUCGCAAA